UUUUUUUUUUUGGAAUUGAGACUUGAGAAGCGAGUUCCACUCUUGAACAAGGCCUGAGAUAUAUCACCUCCCCACCUGAGCUUUCCCCCUCAGGUACACAAGGGAGCCAGCAGCAAAUCUGAAGAGUAAAGGGAACAGAAAGCCACUUCCCAUUAAUUUAGAUGGAAGCUGAUGAGGCAGUGGACAACCAUCUGUCAUUUCUGCCCGGCUUUAGUGCUGGUGUGUCCCCCACUGCCUCCCUGUGGGCUGCGUAAGGGGCAGGAGAGUGGUUGGCAGAUCACUGCUUGCUUUCCUUUUUUUGGCUUUUUAGGGCUGUACCUGCAGCAUAUGGAGGUUCCCAGGCUAGGGGUCAAAUUGGAGCUGUAACCACCAGCCUAUGCCACCGGCACAGCAACGCCAGAUCUGAGCCAUGUCUGUGACCUUCACUGCAGCUCAUGGCAACACCAAAUCCUUAACCCACUGAGCAAGGCCAGGGAUUGAACCUGUGUCCUCAUGGAUGCUAGUCGGCUUUGUUACUGCUGAGCCACGACGACGGGAACUCAGCAAAUCACCACUUUCAACAAUGUGUUGUAGGCUUAAAUGUGUCCUUUCUACGUCAAGGUGAAAACAGAACACAUUGGUAACAUAAGGCAAUUCUUUGCUUAUGAGACAUGUGGCAGCUUGUUGCCAUGGCCUCUGCUCCAGGUGGGGUAAAAGGCAAAUCUUGGCCACAUAUCAGAAUUCCAAGGACUGGCUUCCUACAUUCUCUAGGCUGCAGCUUUGAAAUUCAGAAACCAGACUAGGGUGGGUGAUGUGGUCCCAGGAUGGCUGGCUUGGCAGACCAAACCCACAAGAGGAGGGGAAUUCAACAUCAUGAUUUAAGGUAUGUUGACCGGGAAAAAAAAUGCACGAUGUAAAAAGUGAGAGUUAUUUUACUUGGUAGCCUUACGACUGUCGCCCAGGGUGGCAUCCUCUCACAUAGCUCCGAGGGGUUGUUCCAAAGAGGUGGGCAGGACAGCUUGGGCAGCCCGGAUCAUCCAUAUGGAGCCCUCAUCCCAGGAUGCCUGCCUCACUUGGUCUCUCAGAAUCGCACUUGCCCUUCAGUAUCCAAGCAUCUUCCAGUCAGCAGUUUUCCCUGUCCUGUCCCUCUGACUCAGGGGCUGCCUCAGCGGGCUUCCCUUGGUGGUUGUAUACACCCAGAAAGCCUCUCGGUACUGCCAUCUGCCUUUCCUACCAACCCACAUUCUUUCAUUCUGGCUGAGAGGAUCGGUAUAUUUGUUGAAUCUUUCUUUCUGACAGAGGAGCCUGUUUGGGAAACAGUUCAAGUCAUACUAUCACUUAGUGAAUAUGGAAGGCCUAGAAUACUAUUCAGCCGUAAAAAAGAAGGAAAUAAUACCAUUUGCUUCAACAUGGAUGAACCUAGAGAUUAUCCUACUAAGUGAAGAAAGUCAAAGACAGGUAUCAUAUGAUACUGAUUAUAGGUGGAAUCGAAAAUAUGGGAGUGGAAUUCCUGUUGUGGCACAGUGGAAACAAAUCUGACUAGGAACCAUGAGGUUGUGGGUUCGAUCCCUGGCCUUGCUCAGUGGGUUAAGGCUCAGCGUUGCCGUGAGCUGUGGUGUAGGUCAAAGACGCAGUUUGAAUCCUGUGUUGCUGUGACUGUGAUGUAGGGUGGUAGCUGCAGCUCCCAUUCGACCCCUAGACUGGGAACCUCCAUAUGCUGCAGGUGGAGCCAUAAAGAGCAAAAAAGAAAGAAAAAAAAGACACAAAUGAACUUAUCUAUGAAACAGGAACAGACUACAGACAUAGAGAACAGACCUGUGGUUGCCAAAGGAGAGGGGGUGGGGAGUUUGGAAUUAGGAGAUGCAAACUAGUACAUAUACGAUGGAUAAACAAGGUCCUACUUUAUGGCACAGGGAACUAGAUUCAACAUCCUGUGAUAAACCACAUUGGAAAAGAAUACAGAAAAGUAUAUAUAUAUAACUGAAUCAUUUUUCUAUAAAUCAGAAAUUAACAUUGUAAGUCAAUAGAAUUAAAAAUGUAUAUAUAGAAGGCCUAGGAUGAGCUGAGCCAGAAAUGUCCCAAAUCCAUGUCUGAAGAUGCUAACCCAUCCCAUAGGCAUUGCUGCUCUGCUGCUUUCUUCCAAAUUCUGCACCCUCUCCAUCUUUCAAUGCUAGUAUCAGAAGGGCCCCUGAGUAGGUGCUAAUGUCCUUGGCAGUGUUAAACUUGGCCAUGGUUGCAGGAAGAAAAUAGCUCAAGAAGGCUGUAGUAGUCUCUUAUGUUGAAGAAGUGAUGCUCUUUCUCAUCUUGGGAUUGGGAGUAGGGUUAGACCAGCUUUGCGGGGUGUUCCAUCUGCAGGUUCUCCUGUAGCUACUGCCUCUGUGCCCCAACAAUGCCCUCUGCCUGAUUUCUGAAGGGCUGUGAGAAUGCUAUUGUGCUAGUGGCUGCAUAGGACGUGGUCAUAAGGGGGAGACUUUUCCCAUGGGGGCAGCUCUGCAUGCAGGUAAAGGAGAUGGCCUCUGUCACCUGAAAUGCUGCCUGCUGCCUGCUGAAAACUCCCCUCACUGCUCACGGCACUGAAAUUUCACCGUCAAACCCAUUUCUGACUUUGAUUUAAGCUUGCCAUCUUCCCUUCCCUUUGAUACGGUAUACAGUUCCUUUCCCUUUGAUAGGGUAUACAGUUGCCUCUCAGUGUCUGUGGAGGAUUGGUUCCAGGACCCUGAGAAGGCCAUAAUCUGCAGAUGCCUGAGUCCCCGACAUAAAAUGGUGCAGUAUUUGCAUAUAACUUACACACAUCCUUCUGUAUACAUUAAAUCAUCUGUAGAUUACUUAUAAUACCCAAUAUAAUGUCAGCAGUUGUAAAUGCUAUAUAAAUAGUUGCUGGUGUGCUGCAAAUUCAACUUUUGCGUACUGGAACUUUCUGGAAUUUUUUUUGGUGUGUGAAUAUUUUGAAUCUGUGGUUGGUUGUAUCUGAGGAUGUGGAACCUGUAGGUACAGAGGGCUGACUAUACAGUUCUAGGGGAAAGAGUGUUCGCUGAGUUUCCAUCCGAAUCCAAUCAAGACUUCAUUAAGAAUGUAAUAGCUCAGGAGUUGCCGUCGUGGCGCAGUGGUUGACGAAUCCGACUAGGAACCAUGAGGUUGCGGGUUCGGUCCCUGCCCUUGCUCGGUGGGUUAACGAUCCGGCGUUUCCUUGAGCUGUGGUGUAGGUUGUAGACGCGGCUUGGAUACCACGUUGCUGUGGCUCUGGCGUAGGCUGGUGGCUACAGCUCCGAUUGGACCCCUAGCCGGGGAACCUCCAUAUGCCGCGGGAGCGACCCCCAAAAAUAGCAAAAAAGACAAAAAAAAAAAAAAAAAAAAAAAAAAAAAGAAUGUAAUAGCUCAGCCUUUCCCUCUGUUUCCCCCUCCCGUUCCCUGGCCAGUUCGCAUUCAGGAUGUCAGAAGUUCUGCCAGUUGCAGAACACACCUUUGCUCUCUGAUCCACAUCAGGUCUGACAAGGUAGGGAGGCCUCUGCCCAUCUCCCACGAAGAAUACCAGCUGCGCUGACACCUUGUCCUUGGGGAGGCUACCUGAGGCUGUACCUCGCUCCCCCUGGGGCUUGGACAGCCUGGCCUCUCGGGGACUUCCUGCCAGAGCUGCGCAGGUGUCCUGUGAAGGAGGGCUGUGGGGAAGCAGGGAGGCGAGCUGCUGGUGCUUGGCUGGUUCUCCGUGCAGUGCUUUGAUCACAGCUCGUGGGGUGACCACGCCCGAGAAGCUCUGCUGUCUUUUCAGUCCCGCCGCCAGCAGCAGUGAGAAGUCUACACAAAGGCUCUUGACUGCAGAGGAUCAGAAACCUGAGUGAAGACUCCUCAAUGCAGACUUAGAUGGUGUCUAAGAAACAGGGUCACAUCAGCCUAUGGGCAAAGCUGUAACUCUUGUUUCCAAAGCAUCAGCCCUUAAUGGCUAGUGGAGAAGGGCUCCUGGCCGUGGGAGCAGUGGCAGUUCUGCGGAAGGAGGUUUCACAAGCCCUGUCCCCACCGCAGUCUCCUGGCUGGACCAGCCUCCUGGGCUUGGCCUCUUGGAGAUAACGCCCCCUUUCUCAAGCCAAACUCCAGGCAGCAGGAUCUGUCUCCCUGACUCACUCCUGUCCCUCAGCACCUGGAAUAGCACCAGGCAGAGGAGUUACCCCUCAGCGUUUGUGGAAUGAACGAAUCCACAGCUGAAACACGGCCUGGGCUGUAGAAGAGUUCUCCUCUUGUUCCAAAACAGGUGCUGGUGGGAAAGUGACUGCUGGGGCUCAUCUUUGCAGUUGCAUUUAGGGGAGGCCUUGGGCUGGAGAUAACCAGAGUCAUUGUUCCUCCCCACUUCUCCCUGUAAUUGAGUCAUCACUGAGGACCCGCUACCCUUAGAGACAAGAGGAAGCCAAAUGUUGCAGGGCUUCUUCAGAAUAGGGGUGUUGGGGGAGGACUGUAUGAAAAAGGGCAUAGGAAGGCUGGCACCGUCUGGGUGGGGGAGGGGCCCUUUGGAGGCCAGCAUGCAAGUGUUUGCCCGCGCACCACCCAUCCGUAGCCUAACCUGCACAGGGGGACAGGCUUUUCCCACCUAGAAAGAGACUAAUCUUGCUCUUUCCUUUGCAGGAUGUGCUGAAUCAAAAUUUAAUUGCUAAGGUUCUAGAAAUCUUCAGGAAAAAAACACGAACAUGUCAUUUAAAUUUUAAAUUCUCAAAUGUCAUUUUUAGUUUCCAUUUUUUAUAAGUGGAGAAGAGCCGAUUCCGAAGGCUUCCAGGGAGGGAGAAAGGGAAAUAGUCCCGGAUCUUUAGUUGAGAACAGGCCUGGGUCUUCUCUUUCCUGCUUUGUGUGCUGCCGGGUCCUCCCACUUCGGCCCAGCAAGAGGGCUCGGAGAAGCUGGGUGUCUGCUUUCCCUAGGCUCAUCGUGCAUUUUUCCUAGGGGAAAAUGGACUCUCACUCUGGAAAGCAUAAAACCGUGUUUGUUCAGUGUUCCUUAGACAAGGCUCCCUGCGCCGGGCGGAGCGAACCCAGCGCAGCCGCGCGUUGUGUAACCCGCCUGGGAAUCACGUUGCGCUGAUGAGCUCCCCAGGCUUUUCAUGCAAUAAUAAGCUUGAUCUUUUUAUUCAACUACAAGGAACAGCCACAGCCGGCUCCAGGUCACGUGUCCCGGUCACGUGGUGCUGAGACACAGAAACCGCCUGGCAAUCAUUAACAACUGCUUACUGCCGGGGAGCAAAAUGCAGGUUUUAAAGACAAGAACGUUAUUUUUAUAAACAACCAGGACGGCAGUAGAAGGUAUACGGGGCGGGGGGGGGCGUUUUCCUCUGGCUCAGUGCUUUCCAAGGAAAGGAAAAGAGCCAGCAAACACUCCCUGGUUUUGCUCUGCUUCAAGGACUUGACAAACCGGCCCAGCGCAGCCCCCUUCUCCGGCGGAGCGGCGGCUGCUGCGGCGGGGCCUCGGGCAGCGGGAGGCGCAGGCGGCCUGGGUGCCGGCCGGCGCUUGGGAGGAGGAGGACAGCGUUUUGCAAGGAGCACAGAGCCCGUUUUCUCUUCCCAAGCAGAUCCGCGCUUCUGGGGGAUGGAGCUGGGGAGGGGCGAGGGGCGGGGAAAGGCCCGGGAAACGUGGGCGCUUCUGGAUUUUCAUUAAAAGGAAAACCAGCGUCCAGAAUGCGGCUCCUUUAAAUCUUCCUGUGGCGAGAACUGAAACUGCAAGGACUCUGCCCACCUGAAUGUUUCCUUGUUCAGUCGUUUGAAUUUAGAAAGAAGUUCUUUCACUUUCUGGGACUUGUAUAGUGUUACUUUGUGCUUUCAGAAACUGUGAUUAUCAGGCUGGGGUUGUUUGAUUUUAGUGUACAAGCGACAGUAGUGGGAGUGAGUAAAGAGCUUAGGCUCUUGGCUGUGGAGGGAAAGGAUAGCUCAAUGCAGCUAAAAGGCCCAAGCAGAAACUGACAGCCCACCCCCCAACCUACAUGUGUUUUAUUUCACAUUAUACAUAGAGUACUUUCCAAAACACUGCAGUAGGGCCUCAGCCUUAGAAGAAAAUCCUCUGGCGUAAUCUGGAGCCUUAUAUUCAUGUUUUAUUCAUCACUUUUCAGAAAGAACCAAUACACAACGAAUCUCCAAUUUUCUAGGUUCACUGUAUCACCAAAAUAUAAUUAUUUCAGGAAACUUAGUUAUGGAGUUUAGAUGUCUCCCUCUUUACUUUCCCAUGCUGCUGUCCUCCAAAAGAUCAAAGUACCUAACCUAGCCAGAUGGAGCCAGGUUUUGUAGGGCCUGAAGCUUUUACAAUUUGGGAGGCCCUUUUGAACAGAAUAGAAAAUUAUAGAGAAAAUUAGGUUAAAAAGUAGCACAAAAUUCAGAAAAAACUUACUUCUUAUUACUGGCUUGACACACGUCUGAAAUCCCUCUAAAUCUGCAUUUGGGGUGCAUCUUCUUUGACGGUCUCAUAUUCUGGAAGGGCGUAAAUGUCUUGACCACUUAAUCAGUUUUACGUGUGCC
RNAcentral lists this long non-coding RNA (6459 nucleotides) under Sus scrofa (pig). RNAcentral's name for it is "lncRNA (ENSSSCG00050012017.1)". The record is from RNAcentral. Lineage: Eukaryota; Metazoa; Chordata; Mammalia; Artiodactyla; Suidae.